Molecule: ribosomal RNA, 508 nt
Filed under: uncultured bacterium
Lineage: Bacteria
Description: partial 16S ribosomal RNA
Rfam family: Bacterial small subunit ribosomal RNA
Source: RNAcentral
GAUGAACGCUAGCUACUGGCUUAACACAUGCAAGUCGAGGGGAAACGAUAUUGGAAGCUUGCUUCCGAUAGGCGUCGACCGGCGCACGGGGGAGUAACGCGUAUCCAACCUGCCCAUCACUUGGGAAUAACCUUGCGAAAGUAAGACUAAUGCCCAAUGACAUUUAUGGAAGGCAGCCGAAAUGAAUUAAAGAUUUAUCGGUGAUGGAUGGGGAUGAGUCUGAUUAGCUUGUUGGCGGGGUAACGGCCCACCAAGGCGACGAUCAGUAGGGGUUCUGAGAGGAAGGUCCCCCACAUUGGAACUGAGACACGGUCCAAACUCCUACGGGAGGCAGCAGUGAGGGAUAUUGGUCAAUGGGCGAGAGCCUGAACCAGCCAAGUAGCGUGCAGGAUGGCGGCCCUAUGGGUUGUAAACUGCUUUUAUAAGGGAAUAAAGUGAGUCACGUGUGACUUUUUGCAUGUACCUUAUGAAUAAGGACCGGCUAAUUCCGUGCCAGCCGCCGCCGUAA